Molecule: long non-coding RNA, 646 nt
Organism: Xenopus laevis (African clawed frog)
Lineage: Eukaryota; Metazoa; Chordata; Amphibia; Anura; Pipidae
Exons: 2
Source: RefSeq, a predicted model, not a curated record
GCUGCAUACAAAAGAAAGAGUUAAAAAAAAACUACUUAUCCUCUGGCACCGGGCACAUUGCAAAAGUGCAACCUCUACUUUGAGCUCAAGAAACAUCCUGCAUGCAACAGCCCAUGGGGGUAUAUACUAUACCUAAACUGCUCUACAGAAGCAAAAGGAACAGGCAAUCGGUGAAAUCUUUAGCAUCCCACUGCUGGAAAUUGCUCACCAUCAUUCACAGACCUCCCAGCGCUAUUACCAGAGGGCAGCUCAAAGGAACACAAAUGCAGAUGAAUGAAGCUCUUAAAUAGAGAGAAGCGAAGACAAUAAAAAGGCGCUUUGCUGAAUAGAAUGCACGGGGGCUAGUCGCUGGCGUUUCACUGCCCAGGCAUUUCUUAAUCAUUUUACAUCACUCUUUUAAAAGACAACAUAUGUUUUAUAGCCGGCCUUUCUGUAAACAAAUGUGAAAUAAAAUGCAGUUUGUAGGUGCCUGGGGGCAUAGAUUACAACAUUGUGUGCAUCUCCCUUCAUAUACAUUCACUAAGAAAAAAUAUUGGAGCUUUGAGCCCCUAAGCUUCUUUUUCCUCCCCCUCCCCAUCUUUUCUUAUUUCCUGUCUGUUGUUCUUUGUACUAUAUUUUUUCUUGUAAAUAAAGUGUAUGCAGUUUG